AGUGGCGGACGCGUGAGUAAUGUCUGGGAAACUGCCUGAUGGAGGGGGAUAACUACUGGAAACGGUAGCUAAUACCGCAUAACGUCGCAAGACCAAAGAGGGGGACCUUCGGGCCUCUUGCCAUCAGAUGUGCCCAGAUGGGAUUAGCUAGUAGGUGGGGUAACGGCUCACCUAGGCGACGAUCCCUAGCUGGUCUGAGAGGAUGACCAGCCACACUGGAACUGAGACACGGUCCAGACUCCUACGGGAGGCAGCAGUGGGGAAUAUUGCACAAUGGGCGCAAGCCUGAUGCAGCCAUGCCGCGUGUAUGAAGAAGGCCUUCGGGUUGUAAAGUACUUUCAGCGGGGAGGAAGGCGAUGAGGUUAAUAACCUCGUCAAUUGACGUUACCCGCAGAAGAAGCACCGGCUAACUCCGUGCCAGCAGCCGCGGUAAUACGGAGGGUGCAAGCGUUAAUCGGAAUUACUGGGCGUAAAGCGCACGCAGGCGGUCUGUCAAGUCGGAUGUGAAAUCCCCGGGCUCAACCUGGGAACUGCAUUCGAAACUGGCAGGCUAGAGUCUUGUA
This 563-nucleotide ribosomal RNA is filed under the name Enterobacter sp. RNAcentral's name for it is "bacterial SSU rRNA". It matches the Rfam family "Bacterial small subunit ribosomal RNA", at positions 94 to 653 of the family's 1533-position model. The record is from RNAcentral. Lineage: Bacteria; Pseudomonadati; Pseudomonadota; Gammaproteobacteria; Enterobacterales; Enterobacteriaceae.